UCAUCAUUAUAGUGAUAACAAGAACAAUAUGAUGGAGAAUGAGCUGUUCCCUGACCAGUGAGAAAAAUGUGACUUUCAGAUUCCACAGUCACACGGAUGAAACAUGGAGGGACCAGAAUGUGAAUCCUGAUCUGUUUCCACUCUCAUUCACUACAACAGGCUUGAGGUGCUGCUGCUGAGCCGGGAGAAUAGAAGCGUCCAAGUCAGUGCCUUCAGAGAUCCAGCUGACUUCAAGAGGGCUGAGGUCCACCCAGGGCCACCAGCAUCAGGAAGGAGACAGCUUUGCAGUGACUCCACCCGCUAUGUGCUGGGAGGCAUUGGCUGACUCCAAAGCACACAGCAAUUUCGGCUUGGCCCACGGCAGCAAACAGCUGUGCCAAUGCCCAUCCUAACGAGAAUAACGCAAGGCUUAGCCUGUAAUCCACCCCUCUGCAGAAACCAAUCAUUCCUCCUCAUUACCGAGCGAAGAAAUGCCUCUCAAGGCUCCUUUUCCUCCUUACAAACAAAAUAAAACAAAUCCUUCCUAUGGAUUUCAUUUGCCAUUUAAUGCAACCUAAUGAUUUCCAAUUGAAACCAUAUUUGUAUUUGUAUUGACUUAUUAAUAGCACAUCCAUUUUCCACACAAUAAAGCCUGAACAUACACUGAGGACUUUGACCAAAAUGCAUUAGGUAGCAUUAAAGAUUAAAUAAACACUGUUUCUAUGAAUAAUGUUUAAUGUCACCUAUUAGUCCAUUGAAAAUUGAUCUCUGGGUACUUCAAGCUGGGGUUCCAAGGAGUACAUUUUGAACAUAUUAUGAGUAAUGACUAUGCAUUAGGACAUGAAAUGGAUUCCAGGCCCUCAGUAGAGCUUGCUACUUUACUAUAUUCUGGUUAAUUUGCACAAAUAGUUGCAAUGUCAAUGGCAAAACCCAAGCACCAAACUGCAAUACAUGCCUGAUUCCGAAAAGCAACAUAGAAAUGGCUUAAAAGAAAAAUGAGAAACAUGUUUUGUUUUUUUUUCCCUUCCUCUGAGAACAGUGGUAGUAUUUGCUUACUUUCAUGUUUAUUGAUCUUUGAUGUUUCUCCUUAAAUUUUGGUAGACUGUGUUCCACACUAGAGUUCAGACAUGAUUUCCUAGCCGGACGCGGUGGCUCACGCCUGUAAUCCCAGCACUUUGGGAGGCCGAGGCGGGCGGAUCACGAGGUCAGGAGAUCGAGACCAUCUGGGUUAACACGGUGAAACCCCGUCUCUACUAAAAAUACAAAAAAAUUAGCCAGGCACAGUGGCAGGUGCCUGUAGUCCCAGCUACUCGGGAGGCUGAGGCAGGAGAAUGGCGUGAACCCAGGAGGCAGAGCUUGCAGUGAGUGGAGAUCGUGCCACUGCACUCCAGCCUGGGUGAUAAAGUGAGACUCUGUCUCAAAAAAAAAAAAAAAAAAAAAAAAUGAGUUCCCUUCUGCUCUGCCACAAGCUAAGGUGUGAGCUCCUCUCAGCUCUCUCCACUUAAAAAAGGAAAUCGUUGGGACACAGGCUCUGAAAGCUCUGGCAUUUCCUGACUCUGUGAUUUCACCAGAUAUAAAUCCCAUAAGGAAAAAGAUGGUGUCCUCUUUGACUUUGUGUCCCAAUUGCCCCAGCACAGUAUCAGACACCCAAAAAAGGCCUGGGUAAGAGGAAGGCUAGACUUUCAGAAAUGUGUUGAGAAGUCAGAUGUUCCUGGUAGACACGGCUUCAUUAGGCCAAGAGUCAUCAUUAUAAUGAUAACAAUUACUGUUUAUUGAGUACCUUCUAUGAGCAGGCGAG
This 1777-nucleotide long non-coding RNA is filed under the name Homo sapiens (human). Its description in RNAcentral is "HSALNT0027915". Lineage: Eukaryota; Metazoa; Chordata; Mammalia; Primates; Hominidae. The record is from RNAcentral.